Molecule: long non-coding RNA, 1077 nt
Filed under: Serinus canaria (Common canary)
Lineage: Eukaryota; Metazoa; Chordata; Aves; Passeriformes; Fringillidae
Description: lncRNA (ENSSCAG00000001913.1)
Source: RNAcentral
CCUCCUCCUCCUCUUCCUCCUCUUUUUCCUGCUCUUCUUCCUCUUCCUUCCUUCCCCUUUCCCUCCUCUUUUCUUCCUCCUCCUCUUCCUCCUUUUUGUUCUCCUCCUCCUCUUCCUCUUCCUCCUCCUCUCCCUCCUUCCCCUCCCCAUUCCCCUCCUCUCUCAUUAACCCCCGUGAUUAAUUGCUUCAUUAACUGCUUCAUUAACUGGUUAAUUAAUGGGUAAUUAACUGCUUCAUUAAUUAACUGCUUCAUUAAUUAACUGCUUCAUUAACUGCCUUGCAGGGAGCUGGAGCUGCCACCUCUGCCUGGACCUGCUCAAGGAGAAGGCGUCGAUUUACCAGAACCAGAACAGCUCCUGAUCCUGCUCUUCCUCCCCAUCCUCCUCCUCCUCCUCCUCCUCCCCCCUCGGCUUUGGGGCCUUUCAUUUCUCCUUUUUUUGGCUCAUUUCCCCUUUUUUUCCUCUUUUUUGGGGGGUCCUUUUUCUUUCAUUUCCCUUUUUUUUAUUUUCUUUCUUUUCUUUUUUAUCCUCUCAUUCCUUUUUUCUCUCCAUUUCCCUUUUUGCCCUUCUUUUUUCACCCUUUUUCCAACCUUUUUUUUUAACCCUUCCAUUCCCUUCGUUCCAUUUUUUUUUCCUCCCUUUUCCCCAAUUUUGGCUCCUUUUUUUCUUCCCAAUUUUGUCUCCUUUUUUCCUCCACUUUUGUCUCCUUUUUUUCCAAAUUUUGGCUCCUUUUUUCCCACUUUUGUCUCCUUUUUUUUCCAAAUUUUGUCUCCUUUUUUCCCACUUUUGGCUCCUUUUUUUUCCCCCAAUUUUGGCUCCUUUUUUCCCACUUUUGUCUCCUUUUUUCCCCACUUUUGUCUCCUUUUUUCCCACUUUUGUCUCCUAUUUUCCCCAAUUUUGGCUCCUUUUUUUUCCCAAAUUUUGGCUCCUUUUUUUCCCAGUUUUUCCCCUCCUGACAUUUUUUUGGGGUGACCCCCCCGGGUGACAUUUUGGGGGUGACUUUCACCCCUUCCCCCCCAAAUUCCCAGGAUUUCACCCCAAAACUCACCCCCCCUCCCCCUCCUGGCACUGCAGCUG